RNA transcript from Danaus plexippus (monarch butterfly), 1959 nucleotides. It is a transcript of the gene named enolase-phosphatase E1-like, with no coding region annotated. The transcript is spliced from 15 exons. The record is from RefSeq and is a predicted model, not a curated record. Lineage: Eukaryota; Metazoa; Arthropoda; Insecta; Lepidoptera; Nymphalidae.
UUAGUUUUUAUCUCAAUCAUUCCUCACAGCCUCCUCGGCGCUCCACGAACAUGACAUCGGUGUAACAUAUUUAAUACUAAUAUUGAAAUGAUCAUUUUAAUUGUGUGUUCGAUGGCUUUCGCCUCAUCAUCAGCGAGCACAGCCACCGAGUCUUAUAAAGAUCAAUUCUGCACGGAUCCGCGCACCAUGGAGAAGUACGAGGCGUACACGGAGUGGGCGGACGCCUACUCCUGCUCCCGACACAGGUGCCAGCCCGGGGGGAGGAACCUGGCCAUAUACACUGUAGGAUGUAAGAGAGUGGAGGCGCCGGAGUCAGCCAUAGAAUGCGAGGAGGUGGUGGAGGACACCAACAUGCAGUUCCCGUACUGCUGCACGAGACUGAGAUGUCUGGUGGUGGUCCGCGGUGAGGUGUGGACCAGGGUGUUGGGUCAGCCCUGGGAGACUCUUCCGGCGGCUCCCUGGAGCCACAUGUACAAAAUGAAGAAACCUCCGCCCGCAGACAAUACCUUCGCUAAGUCGGCGGGCCCAGGUCCUAUAUACGAGCUGGCGUCAGAGCCGGAUGCAGGUCCUCACGAGAAGAUGCUGCGUUCCCAGAAACAGGCGACGCCUUCCCCGGACUGUGUGGAAGCCGUACCGAGGGUGGCGCCCUCGCCGGACAUCGUGAUAGCUCUAGCAACAAACAACGAAGAGAAAGAACAUAAGAAAACUAAGAAUACGAGACACAAGAGAGUUAAGAAACUGCCGAACACGUUUGAGGCUGAGACAGACAGGGAACACAAUGAAGUAGAUUUCGAGGACACGCCGCUCCUGGACAAGAAUGUCGAUGGUUCUGAUGAGAAGUCCAGCUCAUACGUCACUCAGAAGAUUGCAGCCAAAUCAUCGUGGACGGACAUCCCUUCAAACCAAUGGACGGAACACGACCCGUCAGCGGACGUGGAAGUUAACCAACCAUCAGAAGAGAAGGAGAAGCCGGCCCUGCAGGCGCUCGUGGACGCGAUCGGUAACAGAAUGAGAGACAUCGAGAGUGUGGUGCAGAGGAUGAGUGAGAAGGUUCACACCGUGGACGAAGUCGGCAGCAGUGAGAGAAGAUCUGAAGCUGAUCCACCUCGAAAACAUCGCAAACAGACGGAGCCCAAGGAACCGAAAGAACCCGCCAAACCAAAGAAACCCAACUCAGACAAUGACAACUAUAAAAGGUUCUCAGUGAAGAAUCGCAGCAAGUACCUCCAUCCGACAGAGGCGAGCACGGAGCGGCCUCUGUUCGUAGAGGACGCGGACAUGAACGGCUACUUCAGUGACGCGAGCAACGGUCUCGUGAGACGCGCCGGCCAACACAAGGACCCCCCUCCGACUUACAUGGCGCCCGUAGACAACAGACGGAAGUCACACACGGAGACGUCAGACGAGGGAGACAAGAAACACAAGAAACACACACACAAGAAGAAGAAAAAGUUUCCAGAAUGGCCACUGACGCUCCUGAAGAACUACUUCACGAUACUCUUGCGACGUGUCCUUGCGCCUGACGAGGUUACUGCCCUCCCGCGUGGUGGUCGACGCUAGAUGCAGAGGAUUCCUCAAUUACGAAAGGAUUCAAGUCACAGCUCACAGAGAGUUUAACACAAGUCUAAUGAAAAAACUACGUAUGCAAUAGAUUUGUCGCGAAGAAAAUAAUCAUCUAGAAAGAUACAACCCGUCCGCUCGAUCAACUUAUGAACCAACAACCUAAAAUAUACGGCAUGAUACAGGAGACUCUCAUUGGAGACCGUCACUGUCGCAAUUCUUUAGCGAUCUUCCAUCCCCCAUAGUAAAAGUCAUAAAAAACAUCACGGGAAGGAAGAAAAGAGGAAGCACUUCAACAGACUCGCUUCAACGGAGAUGGAUAAGAACACUGUGUCCCUGGAGGACAGUGCUGUUAAUAAGUGAUAUUGUCAUAUACAUUACUACCAAACAGUAAAUAAA